GAUGAACGCUGGCGGCGUGCCUAAUACAUGCAAGUCGAGCGAACGGACGAGAAGCUUGCUUCUCUGAUGUUAGCGGCGGACGGGUGUGUAACACGUGGAUAACCUACCUAUAAGACUGGGAUAACUUCGGGAAACCGGCGCUAAUACCGGAUAAUAUUUUGAACCGCAUGGUUCAAAAGUGAAAGACGGUCUUGCUGUCACUUAUAGAUGGAUCCGCGCUGCAUUAGCUAGUUGGUAAGGUAACGGCUUACCAAGGCAACGAUGCAUAGCCGACCUGAGAGGGUGAUCGGCCACACUGGAACUGAGACACGGUCCACACUCCUACGCGAGGCCGCAGUCGGGAAUCUGCCGCACAGGGCGAGAGCCUGACGCAGCAACGGCGCGUGAGUGAUGAAAAUCUUGGGACCGUAAACCUGUGUUAUUAGGGAAGAACAUAUGUGUAAGUAACUGUGCACAUCUUGCCGGUACCUAGUCAGAAAGCCACGGCUAACUACGUU
Molecule: ribosomal RNA, 497 nt
Filed under: uncultured bacterium
Lineage: Bacteria
Description: partial 16S ribosomal RNA
Rfam family: Bacterial small subunit ribosomal RNA
Source: RNAcentral